This 451-nucleotide ribosomal RNA is filed under the name uncultured bacterium. RNAcentral describes it as "bacterial SSU rRNA". It matches the Rfam family "Bacterial small subunit ribosomal RNA", at positions 354 to 796 of the family's 1533-position model. The record is from RNAcentral.
GUGAGGAAUCUUGCGCAAUGGGCGAAAGCCUGACGCAGCGACGCCGCGUGGAGGAUGAAGGUCUUCGGAUUGUAAACUCCUGUGAGGUGGGACGAAUGCUGGAGAGGUUAACAGCCUCUUCAGUUGACGGUACCAUCAGAGGAAGCCCCGGCUAACUCCGUGCCAGCAGCCGCGGUAAUACGGAGGGGGCCAGCGUUGUUCGGAAUCAUUGGGCGUAAAGGGCGCGUAGGCGGCCAUUCAAGUCGGACGUGAAAUCCCUCGGCUCAACUGGGGAAUUGCGUCCGAUACUGUUCGGCUCGAGUCCUGGAGAGGGUAAUGGAAUUCCCAGUGUAGCGGUGAAAUGCGUAGAUACUGGGAGGAACACCAGUGGCGAAGGCGGUUACCUGGACAGGUACUGACGCUGAGGCGCGAAAGCUAGGGGAGCAAACAGGAUUAGAUACCCCUGUAGUCC